This 72-nucleotide transfer RNA is filed under the name Loxodonta africana (African savanna elephant). It matches the Rfam family "tRNA". Rfam says of the family: Transfer RNA (tRNA) molecules are approximately 80 nucleotides in length. Their secondary structure includes four short double-helical elements and three loops (D, anti-codon, and T loops). Further hydrogen bonds mediate the characteristic L-shaped molecular structure. tRNAs have two regions of fundamental functional importance: the anti-codon, which is responsible for specific mRNA codon recognition, and the 3' end, to which the tRNAs corresponding amino acid is attached (by aminoacyl-tRNA synthetases). tRNAs cope with the degeneracy of the genetic code in two manners: having more than one tRNA (with a specific anti-codon) for a particular amino acid; and 'wobble' base-pairing, i.e. permitting non-standard base-pairing at the 3rd anti-codon position. Lineage: Eukaryota; Metazoa; Chordata; Mammalia; Proboscidea; Elephantidae. The record is from Rfam by way of RNAcentral.
GCGCCAGUGGCUCAGUGGUUAAAGUGCUUGGCUGCUAACCAAAACGUCAGAGGUUUGAACCCAUCAGCUGCU